RNAcentral lists this ribosomal RNA (388 nucleotides) under uncultured bacterium. RNAcentral's name for it is "bacterial SSU rRNA". It matches the Rfam family "Bacterial small subunit ribosomal RNA", at positions 30 to 418 of the family's 1533-position model. The record is from RNAcentral.
AUUGAACGCUGGCGGCAUGCCUUACACAUGCAAGUCGAACGGUAACGGGCCUUCGGGUGCCGACGAGUGGCGAACGGGUGAGUAAUGCAUCGGAACGUACCUUUCAGUGGGGGAUAACGUAGCGAAAGUUACGCUAAUACCGCAUAUUCUGUGAGCAGGAAAGCAGGGGAUCGCAAGACCUUGCGCUGAUUGAGCGGCCGAUGUCAGAUUAGCUAGUUGGUGAGGUAAAGGCUCACCAAGGCGACGAUCUGUAGCGGGUCUGAGAGGAUGAUCCGCCACACUGGAACUGAGACACGGUCCAGACUCCUACGGGAGGCAGCAGUGGGGAAUUUUGGGACAAUGGGGGGCAACCCUGAUCCAGCCAUGCCGCGUGAGUGAAGAAGGCCUC